RNAcentral lists this ribosomal RNA (192 nucleotides) under uncultured bacterium. RNAcentral describes it as "partial 16S ribosomal RNA". It matches the Rfam family "Bacterial small subunit ribosomal RNA", at positions 280 to 489 of the family's 1533-position model. The record is from RNAcentral.
UCAAUAGCUGAUUUCAGAGGAUGAUCAGCCACAUUGGGACUGAGACACGGCCCAAACUCCUACGGGAGGCAGCAGUGGGGAAUCUUGCACAAUGGAGGAAACUCUGACGCAGCGAUGCCGCGUGAGUGAAGAAGGCCCUUGGGUUGUAAAGCUCUUUCGUCGGGGAAGAAAAUGACUGUACCCNAANAANAA